Molecule: long non-coding RNA, 1584 nt
Organism: Papio anubis (olive baboon)
Lineage: Eukaryota; Metazoa; Chordata; Mammalia; Primates; Cercopithecidae
Source: Ensembl
CUUUUAAAUAUUAAAAUGUCUGUAGAAGAGUCAUGAGACUUUAGAAUAAAAAUAACGAAAAUAAAUACCAACGCAUUUAUUGUAAAGUCUGCGAGUCAUAAAAGAGAUCCAUUUUCAUGAGUUCUGCUGUGCUGACCUGUGGAAAACAAAAUAUGAGCGGGGUUUAACUUCUGCAGUUAUAAUUAAUCUUUCUAAAUUUAACAUCAUUCUACGAGAAUAAAAUUUUUAUCUGGUCCAUGUUAAGUGUGUAAAUAAAUUCAAUGCAAAGUAAUGUUGAAACAUUUGUGGCUGUUGCUUUUCUAAAUUCAUCAAAGGCAUUUUCAUUUAGGUCUCGGUUCAUAAGUUCUUCCCUGAUCUCCUUUUUAAAAAUAGCCCUGCCAGUCUCUAUUAAAUCAGCUUAUUCUCAUUCCUGUGGAGCGCUUGUCAGUACCUGAAAGUAUCUUGUUUAUUUAUAUUUUUAGUUGUUCACUCUUAUCUAAUCCAAGAGCAAAUACAGGUUUCGUGGGGUCUGAAGCUAACACGAUUCUGGUGAUCCUUUGAAAUAAAAUGAUUUGAAAUUAUGAGUACAGCAAGUCCUUGAAUAAUGUUGUUUUGUUCGACAUCAUUUCAUAAUAACACCGAUGAGAAAAACACUGACUCCCAUAGGGACCACGGUCUGCGUGGAGCUGGCACCUUCUCCCCUGAUCCGCAGGGUUUUCUCUGGGUUGUCAGGUUUCCUUGAACUGGCACGUCCACAUUGUCCCGGUGUGAGCAAGUGUGGGUGUGAGUGUGAGUGAACCCCGUGAUGGCUUGUUGUCCUGUGCAAGCCUGGCUCCCCCGCCUUGUACGCUGAGCUGCUGAGAUUGGCUCUGGCUAAUCACAACCCUGAACUGGAAUAAUUGGAGCUCUGAAGAAAUACUAAUGAAAAAUGAGAAUUACCAUUUCAAGAGAUGGAUGCAUUUGAGUGGCCAAAUUCGGGUAUGAAACAUAUUUCUUCCAUUGCUGACUUCUGUUUCCUCAAAUCCUCCCUUCAUGUUUACAAUUUAGCUGAAAUUUCCUGUCUACGUUCUCUUUUCUUACCUUUGAACACUUCUCCUCCACUGCUCCUCUCCCCAGUAGAAUCCAACCUUUGAAAUGCUGCCCUACAGUAAUUGUUGAGCUAAUUUUCUCUCAAUUUUCUUAUGGUUUACUAGAAAGCCUUUUUUGAGUGAGGACAAAAUUCAUAACAUACCUUAUGCUAAAAGACAUUUGCAUAAUUUGGUAUCCAUCAAUAAUUCAAAGGUUGAUAUAAAGCUAAAGAUAGACUUACCACAUGACCUAACAUUUGUGCUUCUAGAUAUUCAUCCAACAGAUUUGAAAAAUUAUGCUCACACAAAAGCCUGCAUAUGAAUGUUCAUAGCAGUUCUAUUCAUAUUUACCAAAAGCUGUGAGGAAUCAAGAAGUCCUUCAAAAGGCGAAUGGAGACACAAUUGUGCUACAUCCAUACCGUGGAAUACUAUUCAGCAAUAGAAGUGCACUAUCAAGCCGUGUAAAGAUAUGAAUUAGCAUUGCUAAGUGCAAGAAGUUAGUGUUAGAAAGCUACAUACCAUAUAAUUCCAUUUAUAU